This 545-nucleotide ribosomal RNA is filed under the name uncultured Glomeromycotina. Its description in RNAcentral is "SSU rRNA". It matches the Rfam family "Eukaryotic small subunit ribosomal RNA", at positions 548 to 1098 of the family's 1831-position model. Lineage: Eukaryota; Fungi; Glomeromycota. The record is from RNAcentral.
UUGGAGGGCAAGUCUGGUGCCAGCAGCCGCGGUAACUCCAGCUCCAAUAGCGUAUAUUAAUGUUGUUGCAGUUAAAAAGCUCGUAGUUGAAUUUCGGGAUUAGUACGUUGGUCGUGCCUUCGGUACGUACUGGUGUUACUGAUUCCUACCUUCUGACGAACCAUCAUGUCAUUAAUUUGGUGUGGCGGGGAAUCAGGACUGUUACUUUGAAAAAAUUAGAGUGUUUAAAGCAGGCUCGCGCUUGAAUACAUUAGCAUGGAAUAAUGAAAUAGGACGUUGAUCCUAUUUUGUUGGUUUCUAGGAUUGACGUAAUGAUUAAUAGGGAUAGUUGGGGGCAUUAGUAUUCAAUUGUCAGAGGUGAAAUUCUUGGAUUUAUUGAAGACUAACUACUGCGAAAGCAUUUGCCAAGGAUGUUUUCAUUAAUCAAGAACGAAAGUUAGGGGAUCGAAGACGAUCAGAUACCGUCGUAGUCUUAACCAUAAACUAUGCCGACUAGGGAUCGGAUGAUGUUAUUUUUAAUACUCAUUCGGCGCCUUACGGGAAAC